RNAcentral lists this ribosomal RNA (492 nucleotides) under uncultured bacterium. RNAcentral describes it as "partial 16S ribosomal RNA". It matches the Rfam family "Bacterial small subunit ribosomal RNA", at positions 29 to 507 of the family's 1533-position model. The record is from RNAcentral.
AGUGAACGCUGGCGGUAGGCCUAACACAUGCAAGUCGAACGGCAGCACAGUAAGAGCUUGCUCUUACGGGUGGCGGGUGGCGGACGGGUGAGGAAUACAUCGGAAUCUACUUUUUCGUGGGGGAUAACGUAGGGAAACUUACGCUAAUACCGCAUACUACCUACGGGUGAAAGCAGGGGAUCUUCGGACCUUUCGCGAUUGAAUGAGCCGAUGUCGGAUUAGCUAGUUGGCGGGGUAAAGGCCCACCAAGGCGACGAUCCGUAGCUGGUCUGAGAGGAUGAUCAGCCACACUGGAACUGAGACACGGUCCAGACUCCUACGGGAGGCAGCAGUGGGGAAUAUUGGACAAUGGGCGCAAGCCUGAUCCAGCCAUACCGCGUGGGUGACGAAGGCCUUCGGGUUGUAAAGCCCUUUUGUUGGGAAAGAAAAGCAGCAGGUUAAUACCCCGCUGUCCUGACGGUACCCAAAGAAUAAGCACCGGCUAACUUCGUG